UACGGAGGGUGCAAGCGUUAUCCGGAUUCACUGGGUUUAAAGGGUGCGUAGGUGGGCAGGUAAGUCAGUGGUGAAAUCUCCGGGCUUAACCCGGAAACUGCCAUUGAUACUAUCAGUCUUGAAUACCGUGGAGGUAAGCGGAAUAUGUCAUGUAGCGGUGAAAUGCUUAGAUAUGACAUAGAACACCAAUUGCGAAGGCAGCUUACUACCCGAAUAUUGACACUGAGGCACGAAAGCGUGGGGAGUCAAACAGG
Molecule: ribosomal RNA, 254 nt
Filed under: uncultured bacterium
Lineage: Bacteria
Description: partial 16S ribosomal RNA
Rfam family: Bacterial small subunit ribosomal RNA
Source: RNAcentral